UACGAAAUGAACUUAAAUGAAAAUAGUUUUAUAACCAUUUUUUAAUUUAAAUAAACGAGAAAUAUCAUUUUAUGUUGCGAACUUUUUAAAGGUUUGGUUAUUUGUGUAUUUUACAAUGAUUCUCAGGGACUGGCUCCUUUCCUGGUUUUGUAUGAAGGAAAGCUUGAACAAAGGGAAGGAUAUAUUUCUGGAAAAGAAUUGGAGAAGUGUUUUAGAAUGCUCC
Molecule: long non-coding RNA, 223 nt
Organism: Xenia sp. Carnegie-2017
Lineage: Eukaryota; Metazoa; Cnidaria; Anthozoa; Malacalcyonacea; Xeniidae
Exons: 3
Source: RefSeq, a predicted model, not a curated record